CUACGGGUCGCUCCAGUGGGGGAUAUUGCACAAUGGGCGCAAGCCUGAUGCAGCCAUGCCGCGUGUAUGAAGAAGGCCUUCGGGUUGUAAAGUACUUUCAGUGGGGAGGAAGGGAGUAAAGUUAAUACCUUUGCUCAUUGACGUUACCCGCAGAAGAAGCACCGGCUAACUCCGUGCCAGCAGCCGCGGUAAUACGGAGGGUGCAAGCGUUAAUCGGAAUUACUGGGCGUAAAGCGCACGCAGGCGGUUUGUUAAGUCAGAUGUGAAAUCCCCGGGCUCAACCUGGGAACUGCAUCUGAUACUGGCGAGCUUGAGUCUCGUAGAGGGGGGUAGAAUUCCAGGUGUAGCGGUGAAAUGCGUAGAGAUCUGGAGGAAUACCGGUGGCGAAGGCGGCCCCCUGGACGAAGACUGACGCUCAGGUGCGAAAGCGUGGGGAGCAAACAGGAUUAGAUACCCGCGUAGUC
RNAcentral lists this ribosomal RNA (464 nucleotides) under uncultured bacterium. RNAcentral's name for it is "partial 16S ribosomal RNA". It matches the Rfam family "Bacterial small subunit ribosomal RNA", at positions 339 to 795 of the family's 1533-position model. The record is from RNAcentral.